AGAGUUUGAUCCUGGCUCAGAUUGAACGCUGGCGGAAUGCUUUACACAUGCAAGUCGAACGAUGAACCUUAGCUUGCUAAGGGGAUUAGUGGCGAACGGGUGAGUAAUAUAUCGGAACGUGCCUUGUAAUGGGGGAUAACUAGUCGAAAGAUUAGCUAAUACCGCAUACGCCCUGAGGGGGAAAGUAGGGGAUCUUCGGACCUUACGUUAUAAGAGCGGCCGAUAUCUGAUUAGCUAGUUGGUGGGGUAAUGGCCUACCAAGGCGACGAUCAGUAGCUGGUCUAAGAGGACGACCAGCCACACUGGAACUGAGACACGGUCCAGACUCCUACGGGAGGCAGCAGUGGGGAAUUUUGGACAAUGGGCGAAAGCCUGAUCCAGCCAUUCCGCGUGAGUGAAGAAGGCCUUCGGGUUGUAAAGCUCUUUCGCAAGGGAAGAAAACUUACAUUCUAAUAAAGUGUGAGGCUGACGGUACCUUGAUAAGAAGCACCGGCUAACUACGUGCCAGCAGCCGCGGUAAUACGUAGGGUGCGAGCGUCAAUCGGAAUUACUGGGCGUAAUGCGUGCGCAGGCGGUUUGGCAAGUCAGAUGUGAAAUCCCCGAGCUCAACUUGGGAACUGCGUUUGAAACUGCCAGACUAGAAUAUGUCAGAGGGGGGUAGAAUUCCACGUGUAGCAGUGAAAUGCGUAGAGAUGUGGAGGAAUACCAAUGGGCGAAGGCAGCCCCCUGGGAUAUAUUGACGCUCAUGCACGAAAGCGUGGGGAGCAAACAGGAUUAGAUACCCUGGUAGUCCACGCCCUAAACGAUGUCUACUAGUUGUUGGUGGGAGUAAAAUCCAUGGAGUACGCCAGCUAACGCGUGAAGUAGACCGCCUGGGGGAGUACGGUCGCAGAUUUAAACUCAAAGGAAUUGACGG
This 916-nucleotide ribosomal RNA is filed under the name uncultured bacterium. RNAcentral's name for it is "bacterial SSU rRNA". It matches the Rfam family "Bacterial small subunit ribosomal RNA", at positions 8 to 916 of the family's 1533-position model. The record is from RNAcentral.